This 113-nucleotide small RNA is filed under the name Oryza sativa Japonica Group (Japanese rice). Its description in RNAcentral is "sRNA Os06g0662151". The record is from RNAcentral. Lineage: Eukaryota; Viridiplantae; Streptophyta; Magnoliopsida; Poales; Poaceae.
UCCUGAGAGUUAUUUAUUUGUUUCUUUAUUUUUUUUGGAACUAAUGGUACAUUUAUUUGAGAUCCUUUGUAAUACACUGGUAUUGUGGUAGUAUUAUAUAAAUUUUGUUGUUG